Molecule: long non-coding RNA, 270 nt
Filed under: Sorghum bicolor (sorghum)
Lineage: Eukaryota; Viridiplantae; Streptophyta; Magnoliopsida; Poales; Poaceae
Description: long non-coding RNA (SBIC_LNC015309)
Source: RNAcentral
GGGACAGAUGCAUCCACUCUCGCUCCAUCUCUACACACAAAAAAAAAAAUUGAGACUUCAUGCCACAUAGUGAUGCAGAGAGUAAUUACAAAGGAAUUAUAUAUAUAUUCUACACUUAUUUAAUUUAGUCAACCCAUUUUAGGAAAAAAUAAUCUGCACUAAAUAUUAGAAAAUUGAAAUUGGUAGCCCCUGCCAUAUAAAUUAAAAAUCAUAUCCUCAUAAAAAAUAAUUGUUACACAAUAAUGAAGAACAAUCAUUCUACUCCGUGCC